Molecule: long non-coding RNA, 969 nt
Organism: Siniperca chuatsi (mandarin fish)
Lineage: Eukaryota; Metazoa; Chordata; Actinopteri; Centrarchiformes; Sinipercidae
Exons: 2
Source: RefSeq, a predicted model, not a curated record
GUUGGGGGGUUAGGAUGAAAACAGGAUUAGACUCCACAGGCCUGGUUCCCACAGAUUGCCUGAAAUGGGGAACAGAUUUAAAGCAGAGUGCAACUCUUGCAUCACAGCCGGCAUAUAAAGGUCUGACUGUCUCUGCCUUUAAAGUGUUUGGGUCUGACUCCGGUUGUAUCUAAAUGAUAACACCUCUCCAUGGUCAUUGGAGGCCUCCCAGAUCCAUCUCCUCAACCUCGGUGUUAUCUGUGAUCAUACGCCCCCACGCUAUCGAGCUCAGUCAAAGACCAUCCCAUGGUUUGCAGUGUUAAUUACAGAUCCUUUGAUGUGAUAGAACACAGCCCUGUAGAGAUUGAUUACUCUUUGAGCUAAGUUGUCUUCCAAUUACUUAGACAAUUAGCCAACUAAUUAAAAUACUUACCCUGUGCAUUGAAAAAGGAAGAGGAGUGCUGCUGUGAGGAUCUCCCUUGAUAUAUGAGCUGCCAGGGAUUCUCAGAGUGUCUCAGCUGAGGAGAAGAAGGCCUGGUGUGCUGACUGCAGCUCAAAAAAAAGGCCCAAAAUGAGUCACUGCAGCCGACUGUGAUAAUAAUUUGGAUCAAGCAUUUGGACACGUUUAUCACUUCCUGUUGAUUGAGGAUAAGGAUGUUAGAUCAGGGGAUGAACUCAUGUUUGAAAAUCCUUCAUUUAUUGAGGUGUUUUUAUUGUCUGACAAAUACCAACUUCUGAAUGCUCAAACAUUAAACAUUUCUAAAUUGAUGAUUUUUGUUCUGUUGAUCAUUUCACUUUUUAUCUAUGCAGACUCGAGAAGGAAAAUGUAAAGAACCAACGUUCAGCCUGGAGUUUUCUACUGACAAAUAAUUAGACAGUUAACUUGAAGUCACUGGAGCAUGCCUGAAUAUUAAUAUCCAAAUCAUUUGUAGUUAGUCUGAAAAUAGUCAGUUUGGUACUCUUUAUUUUAAUGGUCUGUGGAGGAAUUUG